Onygenales sp. PD_10 is the source of this 74-nucleotide non-coding RNA. The record is from the annotation of a GenBank genome assembly. NCBI's taxonomy places the organism in Eukaryota, Fungi, Ascomycota, Eurotiomycetes, Onygenales.
GGUCCCGUAGCUCAGUUGGUUAGAGCGUGGUGCUAAUAACGCCAAGGUCGCGAGUUCGACCCUCGUCGGGACCA